RNAcentral lists this long non-coding RNA (1976 nucleotides) under Nicotiana benthamiana. RNAcentral describes it as "long non-coding RNA (NBEN_LNC039925)". Lineage: Eukaryota; Viridiplantae; Streptophyta; Magnoliopsida; Solanales; Solanaceae. The record is from RNAcentral.
UGAGCUAACACCAUACGAAAAAUCAAAAAAUUAUUGACGAUGCACAGAAGGUUUAAGCCAUACAAGAAUCAAGUAAAACGACAAAGCUCAUCAAGCAAGGACCAGCAUCAGUAAAGAACAAAGAAAAAUAUGAAUCAAAACCAUCGGAAGGAACUGUUUAGGUAUUCUAGUUCUCGAUUCGUGUCAAACCCCUAGGUUCAUUCUUAAUUGAAUUCUGAUUUCCUGCACAUAAGGACAACCUGAAUUGGUGAGCCAAGACAAUUGAAAGGGCACUUAAGCACAGGAAAAAAAAAGAUUAAAUAAGGCAGUUGGACUAUGGCAAUUUCAAUAGAAAUAAAUGCAACUUAGUAACUAAAAUACAAUGCAAAUUGAUCUCAAAGAAAGCAAAUCCACAAUAUUACACAGGAUUCAUAUGAUGUUCUGUUAAAGAAGUUCAAUGACAGAAUUCUCAUGCAAAAAAAACAUGAACACCCAUUGGUCCUUAACAUUGUGAGCCUCAAAGAUCAAAUAUUAUCCAAGGGGAACUUCAACAGCUUUAAACUAGCAUAAAUAUGCAUCAAUGAUCAUAAAUUCAGUGAAAGGGGAAAUACUUUAGUGAUCCAUGUCGAACUUGUCGAGAAAAAAUAGUAGAUACAUUCAGAGUCGUGCAAGUAGGCUGCCUGGACAGGCAAACAGGGCAACUGACUCAAUUCAUCAAGGUUCAGAAUAAUUACUUAGAUUCGAGUCUCUAACAACUGCUAUCAAUUAGCCUAUACUCGAUGGUAGUCCCAAAAUUUUAGUGCAAAGGUAAGCUCAUCUUUCAACCAGCAGAACGUGCAAAUAUGGUCGAGGGAUCAAGGAAAACAAAAGCAUUCAAUGAUUCAUGUAGAACAUAUUGAACUAAGAUAGAAAAUACAAGCAUAUUGACUUAAAUAUUAAAGAACAUCAUAUGCAAGAGAAGAAGCAAAGAAGAUCAUCUUAUGAAGCGAAGCAAACAUACUGAGAAUAAACGUCAUAGUUUCAGGCUCGCUUAGCAAUCACGAAAGUUGAACACAUUUUUCAUUUGAAGGCGAUGAAACCUUGACUCAAAUGAAACUCGACAUCAUAAUAACAUUUAAAACAAAGAAAACGACCGCUCAAAAUCAACUUCUACUAACUGAAAAUAUUCAAAUGCAUCACACCACUAAGAAGCAGUUCAACAGCAAACAGAAUCACGCACAGAACCAAACAUCAUUCUGGACAAAAUCUCACUGCUCAAAAUACUUUAUACCAGAGAUGCGAAAGAUAAAUAAAUCAAACCUGAAAUUUUAAAAUCUUUUUGAUAAGUAUAUUCUCGACAAUACACCUUUUGAUUCCGAAUCCUAUCAAGGUUCAGUAGUGAUCAGCAGAACAAUAGUAGAAAAAUAGCUCGAACUUCAAUUUGUAUCUUCCAGGAACUCAAAUUCGGGUUCAAAAGUAACAAGAAAAAAUUGUAUCUAUGUUUUUCUUAAACUUUAAUGACCUAUUCAAAGAAAAUCAACUCGGAAAUGCCAUUUGUUCACAGAAAACCUUCCAACCCUCAUUUUUUUUAGCCCCCCCUCCUCCUUCAAAAUUGGAUUGAGCUUCUUUUGAAAAUAAAUCCCUGAUGAAUGUGGUGCUUGGAUUAAGUGAAAUCAAUGUAAUGCCUCACACUCAUCCAGCAAAUCCUUUCUAGAAGCCUCCAAUCACGUGGUCUUUUCUCUAAAUCGAGCGACUGAAGGGAAUGAGAAUCUUAGCGUUAGAAACGUUUAUCUGUGGUAAGAGGAGAAAAAAGAGAACGCAUGAGGAGAGACUUGAGGUUCAAUCGCCCGAAAUUGGACAGUAUUAGGGCUGGAUUUGGGAGUUUUUUUUUUUGGAGAAGAAGAAGCAAAGUUGCAGUACGCACUUGAGGGUUAGGGAUUAGGGACUUCGCAUUUUGUUUUGUGUAUGUAUCCGUGUGUGUUUUGCGAAUGAGUCGAGUCAUGGGUUCUUGGGCGUGG